This 73-nucleotide transfer RNA is filed under the name Elusimicrobiota bacterium. RNAcentral describes it as "Elusimicrobia bacterium (groundwater metagenome) tRNA-Ala". It matches the Rfam family "tRNA". From Rfam's summary of the family: Transfer RNA (tRNA) molecules are approximately 80 nucleotides in length. Their secondary structure includes four short double-helical elements and three loops (D, anti-codon, and T loops). Lineage: Bacteria; Pseudomonadati; Elusimicrobiota. The record is from RNAcentral.
GGGGGUGUAGCUCAAUUGGGAGAGCGUAUCCUUGGCGUGGAUAAGGUCGCGGGUUCGACCCCCGCCACCUCCA